Molecule: long non-coding RNA, 181 nt
Organism: Tarenaya hassleriana
Lineage: Eukaryota; Viridiplantae; Streptophyta; Magnoliopsida; Brassicales; Cleomaceae
Exons: 3
Source: RefSeq, a predicted model, not a curated record
UGGCCUCGAUGCAUAUGUCGUUGGCUCGCCCGAUUCGACCCGCGCGAUUCUUCUCGUCUCUGAUGUUUUCGGAUAUGAAGCUCCAAACUUGAGUUGAUCCCGGUUUUCUCCUGCUCUCAAAGGAAACUUGCGGAUAAGGUUGCAGAAUCUGGAUUCUAUGUGGUGGUUCCUGAUUAUUUCU